Molecule: ribosomal RNA, 494 nt
Filed under: uncultured bacterium
Lineage: Bacteria
Description: partial 16S ribosomal RNA
Rfam family: Bacterial small subunit ribosomal RNA
Source: RNAcentral
GACGAACGCUGGCGGCGUGCUUAACACAUGCAAGUCGAACGGUGAAGCGCCUUCCUUUUUGGUGGGUGUGGAUGAGUGGCGAACGGGUGAGUAACACGUGAGUAACCUGCCCCCUUCUUCUGGAUAACCGCAUGAAAGUGUGGCUAAUACGGGAUAUUCUGGGUCUGUCGCAUGAUGGGUCUGGGAAAGAUAUUGUUUCGGUGGGGGAUGGGCUCGCGGCCUAUCAGCUUGUUGGUGGGGUGAUGGCCUACCAAGGCGGUGACGGGUAGCCGGCCUGAGAGGGUGGACGGUCACACUGGGGAUGAGACACGGCCCAGACUCCUACGGGAGGCAGCAGUGAGGAAUAUUGCACAAUGGGCGGAAGCCUGAUGCAGCGACGCCGCGUGAGGGAUGGGGGCCUUCGGGUUGUAAACCGCUUUCGCCAGUGAAGCAGGCCUGCCUCGUUUGUGGGUGGGUUGACGGUAGCUGGAUAAGAAGCGCCGGCUAACUACGUG